This 485-nucleotide ribosomal RNA is filed under the name uncultured bacterium. RNAcentral describes it as "partial 16S ribosomal RNA". It matches the Rfam family "Bacterial small subunit ribosomal RNA", at positions 29 to 506 of the family's 1533-position model. The record is from RNAcentral.
AUUGAACGCUGGCGGCAUGCCUUACACAUGCAAGUCGAACGGCAGCACGGGUGCUUGCACCUGGUGGCGAGUGGCGAACGGGUGAGUAAUACAUCGGAACAUGUCCUGUCGUGGGGGAUAGCCCGGCGAAAGCCGGAUUAAUACCGCAUACGAUCUACGGAUGAAAGCGGGGGGCCUUCGGGCCUCGCGCUAUAGGGUUGGCCGAUGGCUGAUUAGCUAGUUGGUGGGGUAAAGGCCUACCAAGGCGACGAUCAGUAGCUGGGCUGAGAGGACGACCAGCCACACUGGGACUGAGACACGGCCCAGACUCGUACGGGAGGCAGCAGUGGGGAAUUUUGGACAAUGGGCGAAAGCCUGAUCCAGCAAUGCCGCGUGUGUGAAGAAGGCCUUCGGGUUGUAAAGCACUUUUGUGCGGAAAGAAAUCCUUGGCCCUAAUACGGUCGGGGGAUGACGGUACCGGAAGAAUAAGCACCGGCUAACUACGU